UUGCCCUAGUAACGGCGAGUGAAGCGGCAACAGCUCAAAUUUGAAAUCUGGCUUCGGCCCGAGUUGUAAUUUGUAGAGGAAGCUUUAGGCGCGGCACCUUCUGAGUCCCCUGGAACGGGGCGCCAUAGAGGGUGAGAGCCCCGUAUAGUUGGAUGCCUAGCCUGUGUAAAGCUCCUUCGACGAGUCGAGUAGUUUGGGAAUGCUGCUCAAAAUGGGAGGUAAAUUUCUUCUAAAGCUAAAUACCGGCCAGAGACCGAUAGCGCACAAGUAGAGUGAUCGAAAGAUGAAAAGCACUUUGAAAAGAGGGUUAAAUAGCACGUGAAAUUGUUGAAAGGGAAGCGCUUGUGACCAGACUUGCGCCGGGCGGAUCAUCCGGUGUUCUCACCGGUGCACUCCGCCCGGCUCAGGCCAGCAUCGGUUCUCGCGGGGGGAUAAAGGUCCUGGGAACGUAGCUCCUCCGGGAGUGUUAUAGCCCAGGGCGUAAUGCCCUCGCGGGGACCGAGGUUCGCGCAUCUGCAAGGAUGCUGGCGUAAUGGUCAUCAGCGACCCGUCUUGAAACACGGACCAAGGAGUCAAGGUUUUGCGCGAGUGUUUGGGUGUAAAACCCGCACGCGUAAUGAAAGUGAACGUAGGUGAGAGCUUCGGCGCAUCAUCGACCGAUCCUGAUGUAUUCGGAUGGAUUUGAGUAAGAGCGUUAAGCCUUGGACCCGAAAGAUGGUGAACUAUGCUUGGAUAGGGUGAAGCCAGAGGAAACUCUGGUGGAGGCUCGCAGCGUUUCUGACGUGCAAAUCGAUCGUCAAAUCUGAGCAUGGGGCGAAAG
This 820-nucleotide ribosomal RNA is filed under the name Collariella quadrangulata. RNAcentral's name for it is "LSU rRNA". It matches the Rfam family "Eukaryotic large subunit ribosomal RNA", at positions 75 to 929 of the family's 3401-position model. The record is from RNAcentral. Lineage: Eukaryota; Fungi; Ascomycota; Sordariomycetes; Sordariales; Chaetomiaceae.